GACGAACGCUGGCGGCGUGCUUAACACAUGCAAGUCGAACGGAAAGGCCCUGCUUUUGUGGGGUGCUCGAGUGGCGAACGGGUGAGUAACACGUGAGUAACCUGCCCUUGACUUUGGGAUAACUUCAGGAAACUGGGGCUAAUACCGGAUAGGAGCUCCUGCUGCAUGGUGGGGGUUGGAAAGUUUCGGCGGUUGGGGAUGGACUCGCGGCUUAUCAGCUUGUUGGUGGGGUAGUGGCUUACCAAGGCUUUGACGGGUAGCCGGCCUGAGAGGGUGACCGGCCACAGAGGCACUGAGGUACGGCCCGGACUGCUACGGGAGGCAGCAGUGGGGAACAGUGCACAAUGGGCGGAAGGCUGAUGCAGCAACGCCGCGUGCGGGAUGACGGCCUUCGGGUUGUAAACCGCUUGCGCCUGUGACGAAGCGUGAGUGACGGAAAUGGGUAAAGAAGCACCGGCUAACUACGU
This 467-nucleotide ribosomal RNA is filed under the name uncultured bacterium. Its description in RNAcentral is "partial 16S ribosomal RNA". It matches the Rfam family "Bacterial small subunit ribosomal RNA", at positions 28 to 506 of the family's 1533-position model. The record is from RNAcentral.